Molecule: unclassified non-coding RNA, 284 nt
Filed under: plant metagenome
Description: partial contains small subunit ribosomal RNA, internal transcribed spacer 1, and 5.8S ribosomal RNA
Rfam family: Eukaryotic small subunit ribosomal RNA (bases 1-53)
Source: RNAcentral
GGAAGUAAAGUCGUAACAAGGUUUCCGUAGGUGAACCUGCGGAAGGAUCAUUAUUGUAUACCCGAGGUGCGAGGGCUGUCGCUGACCCGAAAGGUCGUGCACGCCCGAGUGCCCUCACACACAUCCAUCUCACCCCUAUGUGCACCACCGCGUGGGUCCCCCUUUGGCUUGUUCGGAGGGGGGCUUACGUUUUCACACAAACUUUGUAUGCAGUGUAGAAUGUAUUUUUUGUUUUUGCGAUCACGCAAUCAAUACAACUUUCAACAACGGAUCUCUUGGCUCUC